Molecule: RNA transcript, 1543 nt
Organism: Sorghum bicolor (sorghum)
Lineage: Eukaryota; Viridiplantae; Streptophyta; Magnoliopsida; Poales; Poaceae
Gene name: dnaJ protein ERDJ7
Exons: 11
Source: RefSeq, a predicted model, not a curated record
CCUCUGCUUCCCUAUCGACUCUGCUUCCCAUCACGCGGAGCAGGCAGGCCCGGCCACCCCGCCGGCGCGGCCUUGCUCUUCCAGGUGAGGCGCCUGGGUGCGCAUCCUUCGCAGUUCGGAUCCACCUCCAUGGCUGCGGCUUCCCACCUCCUCUCCUUCUUCCUCCUCCUCCUUCUCCCCGCUUCUAACGCCAUCUACUGCGACGAAGACGACUGCUACGACCUCCUAGGGCUUAAGCAGGACGCGAACGCGUCGGACAUCAAGAAAGCGUACUACAAGCUCUCUCUCAAAUACCAUCCGGACAAGAACCCGGAUCCGGAGUCGCGGAAGCUCUUCGUCAAGAUCGCCAAUGCUUACGAGAUUCUGAAGGAUGAAUCCACUAGGGAGCAGUAUGACUAUGCCAUUGAACAUCCGGAGGAGGUUUUUUAUAACACAGCUCAGUACUAUAGGGCAUACUAUGGACAUAAAACGGAUCCUCGUGCUGUAUUGAUUGGUCUUCUUCUAAUUGUUUCAGCAUUUCAAUACAUAAAUCAGCUAACAAGGUAUAACCAGGCCAUGGAAAGUGUCAAGCAAACUCCUGCUUACAAAAAUAGGUUAAAAGCUUUGGAGUUUGAGCGAACAGGAGGAAUAGCUAGCAAAAAGAAGGGCCACAAGCAGGUGGAUAAGAAAGUUGAAGAAGAGCUAAGUAAUGAGGUUGAAUUGCAAAUUCAUGGGGUUGAAAAACCGUCUGUCUGGAGGCUGUAUGGUGUCCAAUUUAUACUUUUGCCUUACUCCAUUGGCAAGGUGCUUUCUUGGAAGAUUUGUUGGUUUUGGAGAUACCGGGUAAAGAAAUUACCAUACACAUGGGAGGAUGCUUGCUACUUGACUUGUAUUUCACUCCAGAUACCUGUGAAUACAUGGAAAAAUAUUGAACCCUACUGCUGAUGAGGCCCUGACUGACUGGGGUCGAGCUGUUGGGGACUUGGGCUGUCAGCUGUGCUUAGCAUACCAUGAUGGAGUUUUGUUGUGCCAACUAGUUUAAACAUGCCCUGUAUUCCAUGGGACAUCAUCAGAUGAGUCUAGGAAGGAGGACCUUGUGAGAAGACACCUUUGGGAAAAGAGCAACAUGGAGAGGUACACUGCAGAGACGAGAAAGGAAUCAAAGCGUAGGAGGUAGCAGUGUAUACCUGAGACUACAGCAACUUUCAACAAUACAACAUGUUGAACAACAUAUUCGAGUGAAAAAGUUACAGACCAGGUUGAGUUCACCGAUAGCUAAUUGCUAGGGGAAGAAGUCCAGAUACUGUUGUUUUGUUAAGUGUCACGUCACCAUGUUGAGGAAUGAGGAUCCCCCGGGAAGUGCCAUGGUGGAUGGUGCAGAACUAAGAAGCAUAGCGAUUUCGUAACUCGAAAUAAGGAAUCAUGUUUGGACUUUAUUUCUGCAUAACAAACUUGUUUUGUCUAGGGAAUGAACCAUGAACCUAUUAUACACAUGUGCACGGGAAGACACGAUUGAGGUAAUCAAGUGAUCUGUUUUGAAGGCGACUUUUAUAGGUGAUUUAAA